RNAcentral lists this ribosomal RNA (250 nucleotides) under uncultured bacterium. Its description in RNAcentral is "partial 16S ribosomal RNA". It matches the Rfam family "Bacterial small subunit ribosomal RNA", at positions 355 to 616 of the family's 1533-position model. The record is from RNAcentral.
UGGGGAAUAUUGCGCAAUGGGCGAAAGCCUGACGCAGCGACGCCGCGUGAGGGACGAAGGUCUUCGGAUUGUAAACCUCUUUCAGCAGGGACGAAGCGAAAGUGACUGUACCUGCAGAAGAAGCACCGGCUAACUACGUGCCAGCAGCCGCGGUAAUACGUAGGGUGCAAGCGUUGUCCGGAUUUAUUGGGCGUAAAGAGCUCGUAGGCGGUUUGUCGCGUCGGAUGUGAAAACCCAAUGGCUUAACCUU